AAAAUGGUAAAAAAUGUCUAAAAAUGGGAUAAAAAUGGGGUUAAAAUGGGGAAAAAAUGGGAAAAAACUGAGAAGGUUUGGAGUUAGAUCGUGGCCUCCAUGUGGGACUCGCUGGGCGAGGAGCAGAAGCAGGUCAGGGGGAAAAAUGGGGAAAAAACAUGAAAAAAUGGGCAAAAAAUUAGAAAAACGGCAAAAAACUGCGAUAAAUGGGGUUAAAAUGGGGAGAAACUCCAGGGUUUUGGGAUGGGAGGUGUCCAAGAUCGUGGCCUCCAUGUGGGACUCGCUGGGCGAGGAGCAGAAGCAGGUGGGA
Non-coding RNA from Taeniopygia guttata (zebra finch), 310 nucleotides. NCBI's taxonomy places the organism in Eukaryota, Metazoa, Chordata, Aves, Passeriformes, Estrildidae. The record is from RefSeq and is a predicted model, not a curated record.